Long non-coding RNA from Felis catus (domestic cat), 2748 nucleotides. RefSeq lists it as uncharacterized. The transcript is spliced from 6 exons. The record is from RefSeq and is a predicted model, not a curated record. NCBI's taxonomy places the organism in Eukaryota, Metazoa, Chordata, Mammalia, Carnivora, Felidae.
GCAGCUACAAAGACGACGCCGGCUGCGCUCGGGGGACCAGAGGGAGGGAGGCUGCGGACGAGUGCGGGGAGGAGUUUGCGAUGGGAGGCGCUUGCAGGGGCUCCCCCAGUUCUGCGCCGUGAGCCCGGGCACAAAGAGCCCUCUGCACUCGCGCCGCAGGACCGCGGAGCCGAGCGAGCUUACUUUACGCCAGCCUCUGCUUUGCCCGCAUUACCACAACAGUCCACGAGCAGCAGCUCAGGGGCUCCCUUGUUUGAGGAAGAGUUGAAAUUCGAAUUUCGGAGCUCCUCUUUUGUGUAUGCCCUGCUUGCAUCUGUCCAGAAGCCCGGCUUUCUGCUGCUCCACAGACGCCUCUGUUUCCCUCGGCGCGUCUCCUGCGCAUCUCGUUAUUCCUGGGAGGUUCCUGCUGUUUUGUCGCUGGGGGCACCUCCCUGCCCACCCACGUGGCUCCAGACAUGUCUACGUGCCUACCAUGACCCUGACCGCAUCAAAGGAGUAACCAAGGUGACCCUGGGAUAAUAGACACCGGCUUCAUGCUAUGAAGUCCAUCUGUGUGGAAAGCCCCAGAAUCUCAGAGCAUCCAGCAAGCUCCUGGGAGAGAGGGAAGAGAAGGGGAGGAGAGAGAAGGGGAUUUCUGGAUUCUUCCUGAACAUUCGUGACCACCCUGGGCAGCAGCCUGACAGAUAAGUAUUCCAACUUACCAGUGCCGCCCCCCCCCCACUGCCCCCCCCCCCCCGCCCUCUCUAGGUCUGUGCACGAAAGCAUAGAAUCUCUCACAAUCCUGUGGGAGGGAAAUUGGCGAGGCCACUUUUCAACCCCUCCGCGUCACAGACCAAGCCCUUGUCCCCAUUAUAUGGGGCCCCAGACAGGGGCGUUCCCACUCCGCUUUUUGGCACGGAAGCCAGCAUUUUGUCAGUUCCGCCGUGAGGACCUUCUGUAGGCUGGAGUUUGGCGACCUCCUCUUGAGUCCCCUUUGAUCUGGUGUCAGGAGUCAGAAGGAGACUGGGGACUCCAGGCGGCUCUUCUCAGUUCCGGCCCUUUGUCAUCAUAUUUGUGAGACUUGGCCAGGGCCCCCUUUACCUGGCAGUUGGGCGGGGAGGCCGACACUGUGAUGAUGGGCCACGUUCUCCUCUCCAGUUCUGGACCCGUGUCCCGAGUCUCAGGUGCCUGUAGAGAGCGCUGGGCGCACACUGAGCGGUCCCCUGACUCUCCUGGCACGGGUCUGCCAGCUGAUGAAAAUAGCUUAGCUGUCACCAGGAGCAAAACCCAGGACAUGAUUCUGGGUCAGGGUUAGCAGGCUGACGGGGACAGAUGGGGGCAGAAAAAUAACUGAGGGUGAGCUGUAGCCCCCCCCCCCCAUUUCCUGUCCACUGCCUCAAACUGUGGGUUAGUAUUGUGCACUCUGGGUGAACGCAGGGCUGGAAGGAUCCCAAGGCUCAGAGAGAGAGAGAGAGCGGGGCAGGCUUCCCAUGGCUACACAAGAUGGCAGAGCUGAAUCCGACCUCUGGAUCCCUGACUCUGGUCCCUGCCUCCACUCGGCUGUUGCCAAGCUGACCUUGCCUUACUUUGUCCUGGGUCCCCUUCUGCUGUUGCUGGGGAACAGGGAGGUGGGUGAAGGAGCCCCCCCCUUAUCCCGAGGACAUUCUGGGGUGGGAGCAAGGAAGGUGGAAGGGGGAUGUGCCUGGACCCAGCCUCCCUGGCUCUGGGGGCCUUCUCGUUAGCAGAGAGUUCUGGCCAGUUCGGGCGUGGGGAGGGGGCCUGGGUGCAGUUUCCUCCUGCAGCGUGGUGGGCUUUUUUGUCUUCCAGGAUGGGAUCUACACGGAGAAGGAGCGGGGAGCUGGGCCUGGGCUGCCAACAUGUUGUCUGGGUGCAGACAGGUGGCUCAGCCCAGCCCCAUCUCCAGGACUCCUGCCUGGUCUUCCCUUUGGAGCCCUGGUGACUCUGGACUCUGGCCACAGUGACGCAGGGAGCAGCCUUUGGUGGUUUUCUCGGACUCUGGACAAGUCCCCAAAGCCGUCAUCCUUCCACUGAGAUAAAGGCCCCUCCUGGCUGGCGCCCGGCUGAGGACAGGCCGUAGCUCCGGAGGACAGCCUGAGGGAGAGGUGUGAGGGAGCCUGGCUGCCCACUGCCCCUCUGUGUCCCACCUGGACCCCGCCUGUUGGGGCGCCUGUUGCCGUCUGGGCCUGGAGGCUGCUUCUCGACCCUGUGCCGACUCGAUUCCUCUCUGUGGCCCUGCUGGUGGCCAGCCGGAGCCCCGCCUGGGCCAGGGCCCCACUGACUGCACCCUUGCCACAGCUGGACGCUACAGGAUGGUGCAGGGACACAGGGAUGGGCGUCGGGGUGGAGCUGCAGGGAGGACAGACAGCUUUGUGGGCUCCGUCAGCUGGAGUCCGUCUUGCGUCCUUUGCCUUGAGUGGUUCUCAUUUUUGUGGGUGCUCUUUGGAUGAGGCUUUUCUGCGCUUCUCCUCUGCCUCACGGUCGCAGGGAGGAGGUGGGCAGGGUUGGGAGGAGCCCGAGCCUCCCCCCCAGUGUUGUUGAGGUCUUGGAGGGGGGCAGUUGGAGGGGCAGAAGGUGCCCGAUCCUGAAAGGGGAGGGUUUGCAAGAGAUGAGGAAGCCCAGGCCAGGAGGGAGACGACAAACUGAGCCUUAUUCCCACCGUCCAAAGGGCCCGGGCUGGAUCCAGCCUUGUCCCCAGGCUUGAGGGGUCGGGUCAGCCCGGCCUGAUGACAGACCCCCUGUUUGCUGUUG